RNAcentral lists this long non-coding RNA (2584 nucleotides) under Zea mays. RNAcentral describes it as "long non-coding RNA (ZMAY_LNC003167)". Lineage: Eukaryota; Viridiplantae; Streptophyta; Magnoliopsida; Poales; Poaceae. The record is from RNAcentral.
CGGGCCACACCCGCCUCAGCCCUAGCUAUGCCACCUUGAAGCCAUCAGGAGCCACCACACUGAGAGAGAGGGAGGCGGAGAGCGCUGCAGAGGGCAACCGCCGAUGAUCCGAGCCCACACCACCGUUUCGACCUCGGUGUGUGGAUUAGAGGGCUCAUCCUCGUGCCUGGAGUGCGUGCAUGGCCUAAUCAAGCUAGAAUAUGGCUUGGUGGAUCGUGAAUUGGUCGUCGGGGUAUGACCUCCGCCGAUGGACCGCCAUGCACCGUGGCUAGAGCAUAUGGGUGCACGAUUCUCGGUAAGACUCCCACCCUCUGAUUCUCUAUAUGCAAGGCAUCGAUUAUGACCUAGGGAUUCUCGUAUGGUGAGCUGGUGUGCGGGAUGGCCCUCACCGAGAGGCACUGCCAAGGGGUUGUGCACGUGCGGCCACGUGCUGUUCAGGGAUGAGGAAGAUGGGUCUUGAACCAUUGAUUUGGUAGACGAGGGUGGAGAUUAGAACAUCGAUACCGGUUGGGAGUGGGGAAAUUGGGCCGCACGAUCGUGGAUCAGUGGAUGAGAUGAGAUCGAACAUAAUAAAAUUAGGAGUGUUGAUCCCUGAUCUCAUGGUCGGGGCUUCAUACAGGUUCGUAAGUGCAAGGAUUUAAUCUGAGCCAUUAAAUUUUGAUCGGACGACGUAGAUCAGCUGAUACCCCUUCGUUUUCGUAAAUUUGUUAAAGAGACCCCCCUGGUUUCUAUUAUUCAACCCCCCGUCUACCUAGUUCAAAGGAAUAAAAGUUGGGUCCUCGGUUCUUUGCAAAACAACCCUUGGUAUUUCGGAUCAGGUCCCUGGUAGGUGUUUAUAGUAUAAAAUUAAUAUCAAAAUCAACCUAAAAAUUGUGAAAUUCGUAUCUUGCACAUUAUAACUCUCAUUUAGUCUGUUCCAAUUGUGUUAGCUUCAUAAUAAUAUUGUCUACACAGUAACAACAUCAUUUAUACCUUAUCACAUAUCUUUAUAAUUAGAUAUUGCAAAACCUAUAUCUAUUAGAGUAACUCUUAUGAUAAACUAUCCAUAAUUAUAAUCUAACUAAAGUAUGAUCUCUAAUCAAGUUAUAAUUAAAUUUGAAUUAAUUAUUCCUUUAGGUUAUCUUUUCUCAUGAUUUAUAAAACCAACAUAAGACCUAGUCUUAAUUGCUUAAUCACGUAGGUCUUCCGAAAACCAUAUUUUUUACCUUAACUCCGAUUUUAAUGGUUAUCGAACCUACGAUCUCGUAGCGAAGCGUAGAAUAUUCUUACAUAUUUUAUUCUUAUGCUUUGCUGUAAUGUUACCAUAUCAAUUAUUUGCUUGAUUGUAUGUUUUGCUAUGCAUAGAAGCGAGGUGAUGAGGAAUCUGAAGAUCAACUUGGUGAAGUACUUGGAAUCACAAGUAAAAGGCAAGUUGUGUGCUUGAUCACUUUCUUUGACCUAAUAAUGUGUUGUUAAUCAUCGUGGCACAGUUAGGUUAAGCUGAUGGGACCUAAUAGGUUACCUAGUUUUGUUUACCCUACACCUUGUAGACUAAUGAAUUAUUGGGUAGUCUUGCUAUUGCUCUACCUAGUUUUAGGAUUAAUAUUAUAUCCGAAUCAUGAUCAUGUUUUAUCAUUACUGAUGUAUUAUUUAUUGUUCAUGAUAAGAUUAUUGUGAUAAUUGGAAUAUAGAGCUUAACCUGAGAUAACAGUGCUACCACAAGAGUGGUAUGGGAUGCACUUGGCUGAAUAAUUAGAAACGCUAGUGGAGAACUACCUUACCCGAAAGGGGCAACCGCAGUGUGAGGAGUUGUCGGUAUAGGGCGGUUCUCGGGUUGAUCAUGCUGUGAUGGUUUUUCGGACAAGGGAUUCCUAUAUCGUUCCCUUCUCGCAGAAACCGUAGCGGGUUUUUUGAAGUUAGUGGAACUUUGUACAGGCCUCGUAGUUGAUGCCUAGCCAUUCACCUCGUAAGUGUCUAAUGACAUUGUAAACACUAGCUAUACGGGAUACACGACUUGUGGGUAAAGGGUACAACCUCUAUAGAGUGUAAAACUGAGUAUAUCGGUCAUGCUCACAGUCAAGAACGACUCAGGACUCUCGCAUGAUUAAUAUAUGGAACUAAACUUAUUCUAUCAUUUAUUGCAUUGUAUUGUGGGAAUUAUUAAUUGUGAUCUCUUAUUUAACUGGGAUGGUAUUUACUUAAACUUAGUAAUUGGUAAUAAAAUUUUGACCAAUUUACUAAAAGCAAUGCUCAGCCUUAACCAUUUUCCUUGGUAAGGCUUACACUUCACAUGAGCCCCCACAGUAACUGAGCUCAAGCACAUUAUUCCCCACACUUGUUGAGCGAUGAAUGUAUGUGAGCUCACCCUUGCUAUAAUCACACCAGGUCAAGAACAGGUACCGCUGGAGGAGCAUGAAGGAUGCUACGAGGAGUUUGGAGAGGUGUAGCAAGUCGUCUCCCAAUCAACUAUGGUUGAGGAGGAUCAUGGUCGUCAUAUGAUGUAUUUAUUUAACUAUUUUGUACUGAACCCUAUUAUAUAAUAAAGAUGUGAAAUUAAUUUAUGUACCAUGAGUCAUCAUAUGUGUGAGACUUGAUCCUAGCACAC